Long non-coding RNA from Macrobrachium nipponense, 559 nucleotides. RefSeq lists it as uncharacterized. The record is from RefSeq and is a predicted model, not a curated record. Lineage: Eukaryota; Metazoa; Arthropoda; Malacostraca; Decapoda; Palaemonidae. The transcript has 2 exons.
AUGCACUGAGGUUAAUUCGGUAUUCAUGUUCAUUAGAACUGUUUAAAAUCUGUAAGCUGAUUGUUUUAUAAUAUAUAUUUGACAUAUGAGCCUGUUUAUGAAGUUCAUAUAAACAUUAGUGGUUUGAAAGACCUGAAGUUGCAUUGGUGAUGUAUUUGUAAACUUUGUUUCUUUAGUAUCAAGUCCUGUUUCUUUUUGCAGCCAUGCCACUGGGCAUCCUCUUAGAGUUAAGCGUUUUCCCAAGAAUUCGUACCUCUGAAAGAAUGCAUGCGCAUACACAUGAAGUUCCUGAAAACAGGUGGUCAGGCCAGCCAUUACAGAACAAGAACAAAAAUAUGAAGCUGUAAUAGAUGCUGUAACAGUAAGUUAAGUUGACCACGAUGACAAUGUCUAUUAUGUAGGAGUGUGUCGUGUGCAUGCCACAGUUUUUGACAUCCUCAAGAACACCCCCUGAUUGGCAGAGAAAAUAAGACAGAAGGCAAAGCUAGACAAGGCAAGGCAAGUCUCAUGUCCCCAGUCAUUUCAAGUGGAUAGAAAAAAUAAAAUGCUUUCAGUUUAA